GUGGCUACUGUGCCAGCUGGUGGAUCGCUCGGCUUGAGAGCUGAAGAAGGACGUGCCAAGCUGCGAUAAGCCUGAGGGAGCCGCACGGAGGCGAAGAACUCAGGAUCUCCGAAUGGGAAUCCCCACCGCAAUUGCUUCGCGCAAUGGGGAACGUCGAGAAUUGAAACAUCUUAGUAUCGACAGGAAAAGAAAGCAAACGCGAUGUCGUUAGUAAUGGCGAAUGAACGCGACACAGUCCAAACCGAAGCCUUCACGGGCAAUGUGGUGUUCGG
RNAcentral lists this ribosomal RNA (272 nucleotides) under Natrinema gari JCM 14663. RNAcentral describes it as "partial 23S ribosomal RNA". It matches the Rfam family "Archaeal large subunit ribosomal RNA", at positions 1 to 295 of the family's 2987-position model. Lineage: Archaea; Methanobacteriati; Methanobacteriota; Halobacteria; Halobacteriales; Natrialbaceae. The record is from RNAcentral.